GUGUCAGCAGCCGCGGUAAUACGAAGGGUGCAAGCGUUAUUCGGAAUCACUGGGCGUAAAGGGUGCGUAGACGGUUUGUUAAGUUUGUUGUUAAAGGCUCUAGCCUAACUGGAGAGUUGCGAUGAAAACUGGCAAGCUAGAGGAUGAGAGAGAGAAGUGGAAUUCCCGGAGUAGCGGUAAAAUGCGUGGAUCUCGGGAGGAACACCAAUGGCGAAGGCAGCUUCUUGGCUCAUUCCUGACGUUGAGGCACGAAAGCGUGGGGAGCGAACAGGAUUAGAUACCCUGGUAGUCC
RNAcentral lists this ribosomal RNA (292 nucleotides) under uncultured bacterium. RNAcentral describes it as "partial 16S ribosomal RNA". It matches the Rfam family "Bacterial small subunit ribosomal RNA", at positions 505 to 796 of the family's 1533-position model. The record is from RNAcentral.